RNAcentral lists this ribosomal RNA (413 nucleotides) under uncultured Rhizophagus. Its description in RNAcentral is "partial 28S ribosomal RNA". Lineage: Eukaryota; Fungi; Glomeromycota; Glomeromycetes; Glomerales; Glomeraceae. The record is from RNAcentral.
GAGAGUUAAACAGUACGUGAAAUUGUUGAAAGGGAAACGAUUGAAGCCAGUCGUACCUUCGGGUAAUCAGCCUUUCGGGUGCGAUUAUGUGGAGUGUGAGGAGCUUAAACACCUUCAUGUUUUGCAUAUUCGUACUCUUGGGUGUACUUGCCCGUGUGGUUGGUUAACAUCAAUUUUGGUGGUCAUAAAAUGACUGGAGGAAUGUAGCUUCGAUCUCGUAUUGAAGUGUUAUAGCCUUCGGUAGAUGUGAUGAUCGAGAUUGAGGAUUGCAACGGAUACCCUUCGGGGCUACCUGUCUGAUCUCUGAUCGUUGCUCUGGUGCCGAAAGCUUGCUUACGGUUAUCAAAGUCGAUGGUCAAUAGGUUAGAACGGGUUAAAUUCGUUAAGGAUGUUGACGUAAUGGCUUUAAACGA